This 228-nucleotide ribosomal RNA is filed under the name uncultured bacterium. Its description in RNAcentral is "partial 16S ribosomal RNA". It matches the Rfam family "Bacterial small subunit ribosomal RNA", at positions 103 to 334 of the family's 1533-position model. The record is from RNAcentral.
CGGGUGAGUAAUGUCUGGGAAACUGCCUGAUGGAGGGGGAUAACUACUGGAAACGGUAGCUAAUACCGCAUAAUGUCUGCGGACCAAAGCGGGGGACCUCCGGGCCUCGCGCCAUCAGAUGAACCCAUAUGGGAUUAGCUUGUAGGUAAGGUAACGGCUUACCUAGGCGACGAUCCCUAGCUGGUCUGAGAGGAUGAUCAGCCACACUGGGACUGAGACACGGCCCAG